AGAGUUUGAUCCUGGCUCAGAACGAACGCUGGCGGCAGGCUUAACACAUGCAAGUCGAACGCUCCGCAAGGAGAGUGGCAGACGGGUGAGUAACGCGUGGGAAUCUACCUAGUUCUACGGAACAACAGUUGGAAACGACUGCUAAUACCGUAUACGCCCCAAGGGGGAAAGAUUUAUCGGAAUUAGAUGAGCCCGCGUAAGAUUAGCUAGUUGGUGGGGUAAUGGCCUACCAAGGCGACGAUCUUUAGCUGGUCUGAGAGGAUGAUCAGCCACACUGGGACUGAGACACGGCCCAGACUCCUACGGGAGGCAGCAGUGGGGAAUAUUGGACAAUGGGCGCAAGCCUGAUCCAGCCAUGCCGCGUGAGUGAUGAAGGCCUUAGGGUUGUAAAGCUCUUUCAGUGGGGAAGAUAAUGACGGACCCACAGAAGAAGCCCC
Molecule: ribosomal RNA, 437 nt
Filed under: uncultured Alphaproteobacteria bacterium
Lineage: Bacteria; Pseudomonadati; Pseudomonadota; Alphaproteobacteria
Description: bacterial SSU rRNA
Rfam family: Bacterial small subunit ribosomal RNA
Source: RNAcentral